GGUUCUUUGAGAAAUGUGAUAAAGAAUCUUACCUGCCCAGUGAUGAAAAUUUAACGGCCGCGGUAGUUUAACUGUGCGAAGGUAGCAUAAUCAAUUGUCUAUUAAUUGUAGACUGGAAUGAAAGGUGUGACUAAAAAAUAAUUGUCUUGAGAUUAAUUUGAAGUUUUCGUUUUCUUGAGGAGAGGAAAAUGGUUUAGAGGGACGAGAAGACCCUAUUAAGCUUUAUACAGAAAUAUGUAUUUAUGCGUAGGAGUGGCUGACAUACUUGUGUAUUUUGCUGGGGCGGCAGGUUUAAUUCAAACAAACUUUAGGGCGGUAUAAUUAAAUGAAGUUUUGAUCCAACAUGAUUGAGUGUGAGACUAAGUUACUAUAGGGAUAACAGCGUAAUUUCAUCUUGAAGUACUAAUUUAUGAUGAGGGUUGCGACCUCGAUGUUGGUUUAGGAUACUUAUUUGGCGCAAAUGCUAGAUAAAGUAGUCUGUUCGACUAUUAAACUCCUAUA
RNAcentral lists this ribosomal RNA (501 nucleotides) under Newportia divergens. Its description in RNAcentral is "partial small subunit ribosomal RNA". It matches the Rfam family "Bacterial large subunit ribosomal RNA", at positions 1817 to 2600 of the family's 2925-position model. The record is from RNAcentral. Lineage: Eukaryota; Metazoa; Arthropoda; Chilopoda; Scolopendromorpha; Scolopocryptopidae.